Molecule: ribosomal RNA, 554 nt
Filed under: uncultured eukaryote
Lineage: Eukaryota
Description: SSU rRNA
Rfam family: Eukaryotic small subunit ribosomal RNA
Source: RNAcentral
UGUAGUCAUAUGCUUGUCUCAAAGAUUAAGCCAUGCAUGUCUAAGUAUAAGCGACUUAUACUGUGAAACUGCGAAUGGCUCAUUAUAUCAGUAAUAGUUUAUUUGAUGGUCCCUUACUACCUGGAUACCCGUAGUAAUUCUAGAGCUAAUACAUGCACUACGAUCCCAACUGCUUGUCGGGCGGGAUGCCUUUAUUAGAUCGAAACCAAUGCGGCGCAAGCCGGUGUUGUGGUGAAUCAUGAUAACCUAGCGAAUCGCACGCCCUCGGGCGGCGAUGUUUCAUUCAAGUUUCUGCCCUAUCAGCUUCGGAUGGUAGGGUAUUGGCCUACCAUGGCUUUAACGGGUAACGGGGAAUUGGGGUUCGAUUCCGGAGAGGGAGCCUGAGAGACGGCUACCACAUCCAAGGGAGGCAGCAGGCGCGUAAAUUACCCAAUCCUGACUCAGGGAGGUAGUGACAAUAAAUAACAAUGCCGGGCUCUUCGAGUCUGGCAAUUGGAAUGAGAACAAUUUAAAUCCCUUAUCGAGGAUCAAUUGGAGGGCAAGUCUGGUAAUCG